GACGAACGCUGGCGGCGUGCCUAAUACAUGCAAGUAGAACGCACAGUUUAUACCGUAGCUUGCUACACCAUAGACUGUGAGUUGCGAACGGGUGAGUAACGCGUAGGUAACCUGCCUGGUAGCGGGGGAUAACUAUUGGAAACGAUAGCUAAUACCGCAUAAUAUUAAUUAUUGCAUGAUAAUUAAUUGAAAGGUGCAAUUGCACCACUACCAGAUGGACCUGCGUUGUAUUAGCUAGUAGGUGAGGUAACGGCUCACCUAGGCGACGAUACAUAGCCGACCUGAGAGGGUGAUCGGCCACACUGGGACUGAGACACGGCCCAGACUCCUACGGGAGGCAGCAGUAGGGAAUCUUCGGCAAUGGACGAAAGUCUGACCGAGCAACGCCGCGUGAGUGAAGAAGGUGUUCGGAUCGUAAAGCUCUGUUGUAAGAGAAGAACGGGUAUGAGAGUGGAAAGUUCACACUGUGACGGUAUCUUACCAGAAAGGGACGGCUAACUACGU
This 504-nucleotide ribosomal RNA is filed under the name uncultured bacterium. Its description in RNAcentral is "partial 16S ribosomal RNA". It matches the Rfam family "Bacterial small subunit ribosomal RNA", at positions 28 to 506 of the family's 1533-position model. The record is from RNAcentral.